UAAUAUGCCUAGAAAAUCCUGGACAACACAGUCUACGAAUAUCCAAGGACCCAGAAUUUCAUUGCUUAAAAGUUCAGCGAAUUGAUGAAUUCAAAAGAAAGAAGGGAGAAAAGAAGCCUUGGAUGUGAGCCAGGUGGAGGAGAACUGAAGAAGUCUGUCAGCAAGCCCUCAGCCCUCUGAGUACUCCUGAUAAUCCCAGGAAUGACUCCAAAGCACCCUGUGGGCAUUGCCCUCCCUGGACUGAAGGG
This 248-nucleotide long non-coding RNA is filed under the name Aotus nancymaae (Ma's night monkey). Its description in RNAcentral is "lncRNA (ENSANAG00000039497.1)". Lineage: Eukaryota; Metazoa; Chordata; Mammalia; Primates; Aotidae. The record is from RNAcentral.